RNAcentral lists this long non-coding RNA (268 nucleotides) under Sinocyclocheilus anshuiensis. RNAcentral describes it as "lncRNA (ENSSANG00000026017.1)". Lineage: Eukaryota; Metazoa; Chordata; Actinopteri; Cypriniformes; Cyprinidae. The record is from RNAcentral.
AUUUGUCACGUGACAGGCGCAAAUGAACGAACCUGCAAGAUGCGGGACGGUUGAUUCUGCUCUGGCGUUUGGAGGUGCAAAAACACACAAAAUAACUGCCAACAUCAUGCCUAAAAUACGUCCUUUACAAAAAAAAAAAAGGUAGAACAAUGAUGUCGGACGAUUUUGAAGUUGGAGGAACUACUUCUGCCUGUCACGCGUGACCUUUCCAACAUAAUGCAUGAAGUUAUGGACGUGCGUCGCAGAGCUGCAAGACGAGCAUUUGUGG